UCUAGAGAUUGGAAGUAAAAGUCGUAACAAGGUUUCCGUAGGUGAACCUGCGGAAGGAUCAUUAUUGAAUUCUGAGGAGGAAGACCGAGAGGUGGAGACUGUUGCUGGCCCUCCCUGGGGCAUGUGCACGUCUUCCUUUUCGUCGACCUUUCUCACACACAACACACCUGUGCACCUGUUGUAGGUCCUCGAAAGAGGAUCUAUGUUUUUCACAUCACACAUCAUCGUAUGUCUAUAGAAUGUAUUGAAGACUGUCUGAUGAUGGUCGAUAAUAAAUUAUACAACUUUCAGCAACGGAUCUCUUGGCUCUCGCAUCGAUGAAGAACGCAGCGAAUUGCGAUAAGUAAUGUGAAUUGCAGAUUUUCAGUGAAUCAUCGAAUCUUUGAACGCACCUUGCGCUCCUUGGUAUUCCGAGGAGCAUGCCUGUUUGAGUGUCAUUUGAAUUUCUCAAACCCAUGUCUUUUUUUUUUAAUAUAGGGCAUGGGCUUUGGAGUUUGGGGGCUGCUGGUGGCAAAAAGCUGUCAGCUCUCCUGAAAUGCAUUAGCAAAGGACGGCGAGUCUUUGACGUGCACGGCCUUCGACGUGAUAAUGAUCGUCGUGGCUGGAGCGUCAGACAUGCAUGAAUCGUCUGUGCUGCUUCUAAUCUCCCUAGGCUAGCCUUGGGUUGGUCACUUAGCUACUAGUCGGUCAUGAGGCUGAUGAACGUUGAGUGGGCCAAGCUAGGCUAAUGUCUCUAUUCGAAACUUGACCUCACAUCAGGUAGGACUACCCGC
RNAcentral lists this ribosomal RNA (773 nucleotides) under Butyriboletus pulchriceps. RNAcentral describes it as "eukaryotic LSU rRNA". The stretch from base 283 to 437 matches the Rfam family "5.8S ribosomal RNA". Lineage: Eukaryota; Fungi; Basidiomycota; Agaricomycetes; Boletales; Boletaceae. The record is from RNAcentral.